UAGUUGCACGGGAUGACGUUUUUCUAUUUCCGCUUUCUUGAGUGUACGCGUGUAAGCUUCCGGUUUCGCGAUAUGAAUAGAGGAAGAUAUGAAUCAUGGCGCUGUUAUAAACACAAUGUCUGCAAGAUCUAUCAAAGUAACAAUCACCGAUGUCCAUCGGCUAGUACACCAGCAUGCUCAGCUCCGAUGAGCAAAAGGAAAAAGUUGUUCAAGGUGUAUAUAUCAAGUUACAUCGACAACUAUGAAGAUUGUCUUUGACGACUCCUCACCAGUUGACAUUUCAGUGGCAGACUGUUCUGUGUGGCUGAAAGAGCACUCCGCAACCACUAUGUUGUGUUUGACCCAGCUGAGAGCCCACCCUUCGGACUGCUGGAAAUUAAAUGUCCCAAUUUAAUGACUGUAGCUACUUGAAAAUACAGAGUGCAAUGCUGAAAUUAAAGCAGACUCACAGAAAGAGCCAGGAUGCCAGCUACUUCUUAUAGGGAUGUAGUGGUGUGAUUUUUGGUGUUUUUACAGAGGAGGGUAUUCCCAUACAAUGCAUCUACAUGGCUAAAACUAUAAGGGAGAUCAUUUUUAUUUUUACAUGAAUUAAUGUUUGAAGAGGGUUCGCAUCACUUAUGGGAUUUAAUUUGAAUAAUAUGCACUACAUUAUUUCCUCUUUAAAAUCCACUGUACAUAUAACAUUGAUUCUUUAUAUUGUAAUAAUGAUACAGUUAAGUAUUAAAAUAAAUAUAUUACUUUUAAUGUG
This is a long non-coding RNA of Paramisgurnus dabryanus, 748 nucleotides long. RefSeq lists it as uncharacterized. Lineage: Eukaryota; Metazoa; Chordata; Actinopteri; Cypriniformes; Cobitidae. The record is from RefSeq and is a predicted model, not a curated record.